This is a non-coding RNA of Coffea arabica (coffee), 563 nucleotides long. Lineage: Eukaryota; Viridiplantae; Streptophyta; Magnoliopsida; Gentianales; Rubiaceae. The record is from RefSeq and is a predicted model, not a curated record.
ACGGGGGGGAGUCACUCAAGCUAUAUGUGAAGGAUGGAAUUAUUAAACUAGCAAAAAGCAGAAGCCGGAUCCGGCGCCCCAAUCCGGUCCGAACAUGUUAAGUGCGCGGAGGAAUCCAACGUAACGGAGACUCGAACUUGUGAUCUCAAGAAUCAUUGGUGAGAGGCGCUGUCGCUGGACCAUUCCGGCGGGACAACUUUAGACGUGUGUUCAAGACUAAAGAUUUUGUUGCAAAAUCGUACGUAAUACUUUUACUUUUGAUUGUUGUCUUGUCAAUUAGAAGGAAGCUAGAAUUUCCAUUCAUCCACCUUUUAAAUCCUUUUUUUUUUUUUUUUGUCUAAGCAUCUAUUACGACGACUUUUCUAGUGAAACUAGAAGGAUAUAUAGCAUAUACUUUACUUGAGCAAGCAAUUGGGCGUGAAAUGGACUGCCAAUUUUGACUUGCUUGGAAUUACCGUACAGUCACCGGCUUCAAAACUUCUGGUAGCUUUUCGUGUACAUGAACAUUUAUUGUUCCUAGUAAUAUGAAUACAUCAAUUGUCAUCACACUACUAUUCCUAGCA